UACGUAGGGUGCAAGCGUUGUCCGGAAUUAUUGGGCGUAAAGAGCUCGUAGGCGGUCCGUCACGUCGGCUGUGAAAACCUGGGGCUCAACCCCGGGCCUGCAGCCGAUACGGGCGGACUAGAGUUCGGUAGGGGAGACUGGAAUUCCUGGUGUAGCGGUGAAAUGCGCAGAUAUCAGGAGGAACACCGGUGGCGAAGGCGGGUCUCUGGGCCGAAACUGACGCUGAGGAGCGAAAGCAUGGGUAGCGAACAGG
RNAcentral lists this ribosomal RNA (253 nucleotides) under uncultured bacterium. RNAcentral's name for it is "partial 16S ribosomal RNA". It matches the Rfam family "Bacterial small subunit ribosomal RNA", at positions 524 to 776 of the family's 1533-position model. The record is from RNAcentral.